CGGGUGAGUAACGCGUGAGUAACCUGCCUUACACAAGGGGAUAGCCUUUGGAAACGAAGAAUAAUACCCUAUAAAACUAUAAAAGCACAUGCAAUUAUGGUCAAAGUGAUAGCGGUGUAAGAUGGACUUGCGUCUGAUUAGCUAGUUGGUGAGAUAAAAGCCCACCAAGGCAACGAUCAGUAGCCGGCUUGAGAGAGUGUACGGCCACAUUGGGACUGAGACACGGCCCAG
RNAcentral lists this ribosomal RNA (231 nucleotides) under uncultured Eubacteriales bacterium. Its description in RNAcentral is "uncultured Clostridiales bacterium partial 16S ribosomal RNA". It matches the Rfam family "Bacterial small subunit ribosomal RNA", at positions 103 to 334 of the family's 1533-position model. Lineage: Bacteria; Bacillati; Bacillota; Clostridia; Eubacteriales. The record is from RNAcentral.